RNAcentral lists this ribosomal RNA (236 nucleotides) under uncultured eukaryote. Its description in RNAcentral is "partial 18S ribosomal RNA". It matches the Rfam family "Eukaryotic small subunit ribosomal RNA", at positions 629 to 868 of the family's 1831-position model. The record is from RNAcentral.
CGUAGUUGGAUUUCUGGUGGGAGCGUUGGGUCGGCCCUAAGGGCUCGUACUCAAAUGUUUUCCGCCAUCCUUGGAGGGAUGUUGUCUGGCAUUAAGUUGUCGGGCUUCCGAUCUCCAUCGUUUACUGUGAAAAAAUUAGAGUGUUCAAAGCAGGCUUACGCCGUUGAAUACAUUAGCAUGGAAUAAUAAGAUAGGACCCUGGUACUAUUUUGUUGGUUUGCGUACCUAGGUAAUGA